CCUACGUGUGGCAGCAGUGAGGAAUAUUGGUCAAUGGGCGCGAGCCUGAACCAGCCAAGUAGCGUGAAGGAUGACUGCCCUACGGGUUGUAAACUUCUUUUAUAAAGGAAUAAAGUGAGUCACGUGUGCCUUUUUGUCUGUACUUUAUUAAUAAGGAUAGGCUCACUCCGUGCCAGCAGCCGCGGUAAUACGGAGGAUCCGAGCGUUAUCCGGAUUUAUUGGGUUUAAAGGGAGCGUAGAUGGGUUGUUAAGUUAGUUGUGAAAGUUUGCGGAUCAACCGUAAAAUUGCAAUUGAUACUGGCAGUCUUGAGUACAGUUGAGGUAGGCGGAAUUCGUGGUGUAGCGGUGAAAUGCUUAGAUAUCACGAAGAACUCCGAUUGCGAAGGCAGCUUACUAAACUGCCACUGACAUUGAUGCUCGAAAGUGUGGGUAUCAAACAGGAUUAGAUACCCGGGUAGUC
Molecule: ribosomal RNA, 460 nt
Filed under: uncultured bacterium
Lineage: Bacteria
Description: partial 16S ribosomal RNA
Rfam family: Bacterial small subunit ribosomal RNA
Source: RNAcentral